Molecule: ribosomal RNA, 482 nt
Filed under: uncultured bacterium
Lineage: Bacteria
Description: partial 16S ribosomal RNA
Rfam family: Bacterial small subunit ribosomal RNA
Source: RNAcentral
GAAGAACGCUGGCGGCGUGCCUAACACAUGCAAGUCGAACGGAGUUAUGAAGUUUUCGGACGGAUUAACUUAGUGGCGGACGGGUGAGUAACGCGUGGGUAACCUGCCUCAUACAGGGGGAUAACAGUUGGAAACGACUGCUAAAACCGCAUAACAUUGCGAUGCCGCAUGGCGAUGCAAUUAAAUAUUUAUAGGUAUGAGAUGGGCCCGCGUCUGAUUAGCUAGUUGGUGAGGUAAUGGCUCACCAAGGCGACGAUCAGUAGCCGGCUUGAGAGAGGGACCGGCCACAUUGGGACUGGGACACGGCCCAAACUCCUACGGGAGGCAGCAGUGGGGAAUAUUGCACAAUGGGCGAAAGCCUGAUGCAGCGACGCCGCGUGAGUGAAGAAGUAUUUCGGUAUGUAAAGCUCUAUCAGCAGGGAAGAUAAUGACGGUACCUGACUAAGAAGCCCCGGCUAACUACGUGCCAGCCGCCGCAGUAA